RNAcentral lists this ribosomal RNA (441 nucleotides) under uncultured bacterium. Its description in RNAcentral is "bacterial SSU rRNA". It matches the Rfam family "Bacterial small subunit ribosomal RNA", at positions 29 to 514 of the family's 1533-position model. The record is from RNAcentral.
AAUGAACGCUGGCGGCAUGCCUAACACAUGCAAGUCGAACGAACCCUUCGGGGUUAGUGGCGCACGGGUGCGUAACGCGUGGGAAUCUGCCCUUUGCUUCGGAAUAACAGUUAGAAAUGACUGCUAAUACCGGAUGAUGUCGCAAGACCAAAGAUUUAUCGGCAAAGGAUGAGCCCGCGUAGGAUUAGCUUGUUGGUGAGGUAAAAGCUCACCAAGGCGACGAUCCUUAGCUGGUCUGAGAGGAUGAUCAGCCACACUGGGACUGAGACACGGCCCAGACUCCUACGGGAGGCAGCAGUGGGGAAUAUUGGACAAUGGGCGAAAGCCUGAUCCAGCAAUGCCGCGUGAGUGAUGAAGGCCUUAGGGUUGUAAAGCUCUUUUACCCGGGAUGAUAAUGACAGUACCGGGAGAAUAAGCUCCGGGCUAACUCCGUGCCAGCAG